AGUGAACGCUGGCGGUAGGCCUAACACAUGCAAGUCGAACGGCAGCACAGUAAGAGCUUGCUCUUACGGGUGGCGAGUGGCGGACGGGUGAGGAAUACAUCGGAAUCUACUUUUUCGUGGGGGAUAACGUAGGGAAACUUACGCUAAUACCGCAUACGACCUACGGGUGAAAGCAGGGGAUCUUCGGACCUUGCGCGAUUGAAUGAGCCGAUGUCGGAUUAGCUAGUUGGCGGGGUAAAGGCCCACCAAGGCGACGAUCCGUAGCUGGUCUGAGAGGAUGAUCAGCCACACUGGAACUGAGACACGGUCCAGACUCCUACGGGAGGCAGCAGUGGGGAAUAUUGGACAAUGGGCGCAAGCCUGAUCCAGCCAUACCGCGUGGGUGAAGAAGGCCUUCGGGUUGUAAAGCCCUUUUGUUGGGAAAGAAAAGCAGCAGGUUAAUACCCCGCUGUUCUGGCGGUACCCAAAGAACAAGCACCGGCUAACUUCGUG
This 492-nucleotide ribosomal RNA is filed under the name uncultured bacterium. RNAcentral's name for it is "partial 16S ribosomal RNA". It matches the Rfam family "Bacterial small subunit ribosomal RNA", at positions 29 to 507 of the family's 1533-position model. The record is from RNAcentral.